ACGGAAGGCAGCAGUGGGGGAUAUUGCACAAUGGGGGAAACCCUGAUGCAGCGACGCCGCGUGAGUGAAGAAGUAUUUCGGUAUGUAAAGCUCUAUCAGCAGGAAGAUAAUGACGGUACCUGACUAAGAAGCCCCGGCUAACUACGUGCCAGCAGCCGCGGUAAUACGUAGGGGGCAAGCGUUAUCCGGAUUUACUGGGUGUAAAGGGAGCGUAGGCGGUUUUGCAAGUCAGAAGUGAAAGCCCGGGGCUUAACUCCGGGACUGCUUUUGAAACUGCGAGACUUGAUUGCAGGAGAGGUAAGUGGAAUUCCUAGUGUAGCGGUGAAAUGCGUAGAUAUUAGGAGGAAUACCGGUGGCGAAGGCGGCUUACUGGACUGUAAAUGACGCUGAGGCUCGAAAGCGUGGGGAGCAAACAGGAUUAGAUACCCUGGUA
This 433-nucleotide ribosomal RNA is filed under the name uncultured Lachnospiraceae bacterium. RNAcentral describes it as "bacterial SSU rRNA". It matches the Rfam family "Bacterial small subunit ribosomal RNA", at positions 341 to 792 of the family's 1533-position model. The record is from RNAcentral. Lineage: Bacteria; Bacillati; Bacillota; Clostridia; Lachnospirales; Lachnospiraceae.